UGAAGCGUUAUUUCUUGCCUCAAGCCAGCCAACAUUGAGGCAAUUAACUCCAGCUGGCCAGGCUUAGCGUCUUCAUCAGCCUCAAGGUCACCACUACCCCCACCACUCGCUCCGCCAGCCGCACCGUGCUCGCCGAGGUCCAUUGUGCCCGAGGCGUCACUCUUUGUCUGCCCGUCCACUCACAGCACAAUUUCCACCCCGCUCCUGACACCACUGUUAUACUCCACUUGUCUACCCCUCACACAGGCAGACAGGUGCUCUCCCAAUUACUUAAACUGGGCUCGCUAUGGAAAACACAGUGCUCCCACGAGGCGGACAGCAGACACAAAGACACUCCGGCGGACACACUCGCACACACCCACAGAGCACACAGCGAGGCACAAUUAAAUACAGGGCGGACUUUCUUGGGGUUUACUAAGCAAUAGCACGUUGUACAAUCCUUAUAGUCCAAGGGGGAGGCAGUCAAGGCACAAAUCACAGGCGAUUAAGUCCUAAGGCACAGAGCACAGGCGAGCGCGUCCUUUUUCUUCUCUCCGUCUCCACUCUUCCUCGCCGCAUGGCGUCCCUCUCCAGCCCGCCCCCUCAACGGGGCCGCAGGGAACCCUCAUUACGUCACGUGGCGCCAAUUACAAUUUAAACUAAGCUAAGCCUUGGCGUAACACUAACAUGGCCGACGAAGACGAGGAACACUGCAGCGAAACUGAAGGCAACGAUAACAUGGCCGACGAAGACGAGGAACACUGCAGCGAAACUGAAGGCAACGAUAACAUGGCCGAAGAAUGAUGUCCUGAGGCUUGAAACCUUCACAGCGUCCUGCCGCUUCACCGCUUAUCAAACGCUCGUAACGCCAAGCAUAUCAGCGUGGCCUGGAACGCAACAGCACCACCGCAAGGCAGCAGCCCGCUCUGAUGUAGAGGCUCCUUCGUGCCUUGUUUAAUCAUGAUGCUUGUAAAGGAGAGUCGAGAGCCUCACCCAUUAUGUAGCUUUUGACUCUUUGCAAAACGUGUAACAUCUUUAUUAACUGGAAGUAGUUUUAUGGAAUAAACUUUGUGUAAAAUCACGAUGGCUACAAUUAUCAUUAAUUAUGUUGUCCGCAAGAGGUGUCAAAUCAUAAUAGGGGACCCUCCAGACUCUGUGUAUAGAGGACAGCACUGUGGUCCUCGGGUUGGAGCAGACGGAAAAGCAAAACCUCGCAUUUAUUUAUCUAAAAGGGCUGUGAGGCAGUGUCAUGACAUUUCAAUCAAAUGAAUCAAAUAUUUGUGUAGGAAAAUAUAGGAGAAAGUAUCACUGACUUUUAUUUUUUACAAAAUGAAACCGUCGUAGGUAAAGUUUGGGGCAUGCGCUGAAGCUGCGCGUGGCCUCGGCGUUCAUCUCCGCCUGUGGCGGGUGAGAACCCAUUACUCCAAGACACCGGAACAGUGUGACAUCCGGGUUACCACAGUUUACCCUCCCCAGGUACAAAUUUAUCAACCAAACCGAACGGGAGGAUGAACAGUUGGGUGGGCUGGGGGCCGACUGCUCGAACCCAGGCCUGCCGAUUUGUAGCUAGGCGUGCCAACCGCUUCACCACGGUAGCGCAUGGCAUUGUGACUAAAACCUGGAAAUUCAAGUUUCUUCUCGGCGGCCUUUUAUCAAGCCGAUGCAAAGGUGAGUAAAAUGAGGCCUGUAGUGAUGUGGGAUCCAUUCUAAUAGACCGGCUAAGCACGUUUCUUUUUUUAAGAGGGGGAGCACAUACGACUUUCGAUAAUAUAUAGCUACCUCUGACUUCUGUUUUGUUAGGAAAGCUGAAUUAUCAUGAUAACAAUCAAUGGUUUCUUGAAAGUAUGCAGCCAUGGGCCGGAAAUGUGUGUGUGUGUGUGUGUGUGUGUGUGUGUGUGUGUGUGUGUUUCAGUAUCCCUCCGAUCACUUAAAACAAUUACUCGAACUUCCAGGAAGAGUCAAUAGGGUAAAUAAUUGAUGAUGUUGACAAUUCUUCCAGUUUGAGCUGCGAAGAAGGCGACGCCCACCACUCAUGUGCCAGUCAGCCUCGGCAGUGCAGGUUCGAUCGGCUCCACACGCUGCCUCAGGACAACCGCCACACUUCUUAGGGGGUUAAAAAAAAAAACAUGGCAUUCCUCCCGGGAAGGAUGCGCCUUAUUACCCUCUUAGAAGUCUGCCUGAAAGUGUUCCGAGUCCUUGGGUUCCUGCCGUAUUCCUGGGAUGCCUCUGGACGCUGCCCUCAGACCAACAAACCGCAGACCCCCGAGAUAGCCUGGUCCUCCUCCUCACUGAUUAAUGUGGGAGGCGAUGAAAGGGAACUGUCGUCACCAGCCUUUCCGUGUUGCUUCAAGAGGCGACAGUCGCUUGUAACACUGUCUUGGAUCUUUGUGUUCAUCCGCAUUGCCCACGGUUUUGCAGUCAUAACCGUUCACGCAUAUUUCCUAAAACUGGAUAUUAAUGACCUGGGCAACUUAGUGACCACACAUAAUAUCACCGAUUUAUGUAUUCACCUCUUUUCAGUCCUCCUGUCAGCAAGUUUAAUGACGGUGCUGCUGUUGCGUGGCGAUCGGUUGGCUCACCUCCUGCAGAGCCUAAGUAACAUUAUUGCCAGCCAUCACGUUGCUGUGCUGUCUAAAGUUGAUGUCUCCGUGUGCUUCGUGUUUCUCCUCUAUCUUCUGUUAGCUCUCGUGUCCACCGUUGUCGAACUGCAGCACGUAGAAGAGACAGAAACACACGUGGUGAAGAAACAGCUUCGGUACGUUGAGGACACGAGCUUCUGCAUCGUCCACGUGCUCUUGGCCUUCACAGUCAUGGUCUUGAUCCUGUUCUUUCGUGCCGUCGCUGUCACCUUGUCGGAGAACUACACCAACAUCCUGAGGGAGAAACUGCCACGGGAGACACAUUCAGACCUGACGAAGGUGCGCCCGGAAGACUGUGACGAGGAGGAGAUCGAGGCCUGGAAAUUGGGUCCUGAGGGUGAAAGGAAGACUGACGGUGGUGCUAGGGAAAGGAAAGUUAAUUAUUCAAAACAAGACCUCAUUUCCGGAGAUCCCCACAACGGAAGGGCAGCCAAUAGUGGUGGAGGAAGAAAGAUUUAUGCUUUACAAGACCUCUCCUCGGCAGAUCCUUACAGUAGAAUGGUGACAAGUGGCGACAGCAGGAAAGAGACAGCACCCUCACUCUCACCACUGACCAUCACGGACAUCACCACAGCCAUUGACCAGCUCCAAGACCUCCACCAGUUCCAGCACCUCCUGAACGCCUACUUCGGCCUCCCUCUGUCUCUGAGUCUGGUCAAGAUGAUACUGGUGGUGGUCAUCCAAGCGUUCUUCGCUGCCAACGUCGCCGACAGGUGGAGGCUGGCCUGCAUCUUUGUGGCCAUCCCCCUCGAUCUCUCUCUCAUGGUGCAUCUGUUUUCUGCCCCCGAAAGUGUCACGCUGCAGAGAGAAAAACUACGAGAGGCUGUUCUUCUGAGGAGGCUGAAGGAGACGAGCAACAUGGAACUGGUGGACAAGUUUUCACCCAUCUCAUCAUUAUACUGUUCCUGCCACAGCUCGGCCGCUGGACAGAGGUGAUGGACACGUACACGGAUUUCAGUAUCGGCCGCCUGUUUGUUAUCGCUAAAUCCAACAUUGUGGGCCUGGCAAGCUUCAUGGCAACCUACUUAGUGAUUCUCCUUCAAUUCAACCAAGGAGACAAAGGAAGCAGUGGAAAAGAAAAAAUGAAUCCAGUGCAGUGAUCCUCAUGAAGCUCAAGUAGUGUCAGACGCAGCGGGCAGCCCACUCUGGAAUUGGCACUGCAGCACGACACACCUCAGGACACAGACUCACUGGUCCACGCCUGAUUGCAGCAGGUGUGGGAGUCAGUCCUGCCAGGGUCAAUGUG
Molecule: RNA transcript, 3864 nt
Organism: Eriocheir sinensis (Chinese mitten crab)
Lineage: Eukaryota; Metazoa; Arthropoda; Malacostraca; Decapoda; Varunidae
Gene: Gr43a
Exons: 5
Source: RefSeq, a predicted model, not a curated record